RNAcentral lists this ribosomal RNA (253 nucleotides) under uncultured bacterium. RNAcentral's name for it is "partial 16S ribosomal RNA". It matches the Rfam family "Bacterial small subunit ribosomal RNA", at positions 524 to 776 of the family's 1533-position model. The record is from RNAcentral.
UACGUAGGGUGCAAGCGUUGUCCGGAAUUAUUGGGCGUAAAGGGCGCGUAGGUGGCGCGGGCAGUCAACGGUGAAAGUUCGGGGCUCAACCCUGAAUCGGCCGUCGAUACUCCCGGGCUUGAGCACUGUAGAGGCAGAUGGAAUUCCGGGUGUAGCGGUGGAAUGCGUAGAGAUCCGGAAGAACACCGGUGGCGAAGGCGGUCUGCUGGGCAGUAGCUGACACUGAGGCGCGACAGCGUGGGGAGCAAACAGG